RNAcentral lists this ribosomal RNA (433 nucleotides) under uncultured bacterium. RNAcentral describes it as "partial 16S ribosomal RNA". It matches the Rfam family "Bacterial small subunit ribosomal RNA", at positions 29 to 507 of the family's 1533-position model. The record is from RNAcentral.
AACGAACGCUGGCGGCAUGCCUAACACAUGCAAGUCGAACGAGACCUUCGGGUCUAGUGGCGCACGGGUGCGUAACGCGUGGGAACCUGCCCUUAGGUUCGGAAUAACUCCCCGAAAGGGGUGCUAAUACCGGAUAAUGUCUUCGGACCAAAGAUUUAUCGCCUUUGGAUGGGCCCGCGUUGGAUUAGCUAGUUGGUAGGGUAAAAGCCUACCAAGGCGACGAUCCAUAGCUGGUCUGAGAGGAUGAUCAGCCACACUGGGACUGAGACACGGCCCAGACUCCUACGGGAGGCAGCAGUGGGGAAUAUUGGACAAUGGGCGGAAGCCUGAUCCAGCAAUGCCGCGUGAGUGAUGAAGGCCUUAGGGUUGUAAAGCUCUUCUACCCGGGAUGAUAAUGACAGUACCGGGAGAAUAAGCUCCGGCUAACUCCGUG